CUUGAGUAAAGUUUGGAAAUGUAUACUGCCUGUUCUGAACCUUUACUGUAUCCAUCCCAUUUUGGGAUGUGGUAGUUAUUUUUGAAAAGCCACUGUUAAACUGCAUUCACCAUCCAAUCAGAGCAAUGCUGUUCUUACUUCAUCAAGAUGCUUAAGAGACGUGUAUGCCAUUUCGUGACUGAAGGGACAAUGGAUUGAAUAAACGAAUGAUGCCGAUAAGGAUCCACGGAAUUCAUGCUGAGCAUCAGAAAAAGUGCAUCCCCCACCCCACCCCGUGUACCCACAGCUCAGCUCUCCACAAGCCAGGAGCAAGGAAACAGGAUGUGCCUGGGGCCCACCUGUGAGACGCUUGACUUUCCAACAACAGAACCAUUCAUCUGCUCCAAAGGCCUUGCAGAAAUUCUUAAAUUGUGGUUGUCUCAUAAGGAAUGUGGGAAAGGCAGCCGGCUGCAGUGGCCGAGACAUAAUGCCAAGAUAAAACAUGGGCUUUCCAGCUAGUGGUAAAGAACCCACCUGCCAGUGAAGGAGAUGGAAGAGAUGCAGGUUUGAUCCCUGGGUCGGAAAGAUCCCCUAGAGUACAAAUGGCAACCCACUCCAGUAUUCUUACCUGGAGAAUCCCGUGGACAGAGGAGCCUGGCGGGUUACAGUCCAUGGGGUCGCAAAGAGUCAGACAUAACUGAACGAUUGAGCACAUGACAUAUCUCACAUUGAGAGGUAGGUACUGUUAUCCCCUUCAUGGUCUGAGUGAUGUAACAGGCCCAGAGAGGUUAAGUAACUUGUUCAUAGUCACUCAGCUUGUAGGUGCUGGAGCAGGAUUCCAGUCUGGCUCCAGUGGACAUGCUGUUAACAACCACAGGCAUCUUUCUCUUCAAACCCUUUCUUCUUGCUGUGGCUUUGGAUUGCUUCCUGCUGGCUUCUUCUCCAUGGAGACAAAUCUGUUCAUCUCCCCAAACCCAGCUUGAAGGCCACCUUCCUACGGAGCCUUCCAUGGCCUCCUCCUCAGGGCCAGGCUUGCCCUUGAUGUUUCCUGGCUUUUGCUAACCCUAACAAGUCCCUGGAAGUCCCUGGAGGCAGAAACGUUGACUCAUUUGUCUGUCUGUCUUCUCCAGGAUCGGUCACACCUGAGAUCAUUGGGAACAAUGAACUGGAUCCAAAGAAGAAGCCAUGAUGUUCUGCAUGAUUGAUAAAGCCAGCCUGUUCGUCUCCUUCCUAAAAGAAAUCGGGGCAAUCCAUCAAACAUCGGGGAUUUCCCAACUAUGGUGCAGUGGAUGGUGGGAGCAUCUGGAAACUAACCAUUGCUGGACGUCAUGAGGGAUAAUAGUUCCCUCCACCAGGGAUUGAACCUGCGCGCCUGUAGCGAAAGCAUGGAGUCUUAACCACUGGACCCCUAGGCAAGUCCCCUAAAAGCCAAUUGUGCAGUAAGUUUUAGUGGCCCCUAUUUUAUGAAUGAGGAAACUGGGAUACAGAGAGGUUGAGUAACUUGCCAGAAAUGACACAGCUAGUAGAGGAGCUCAGAUCCAGUUUCAUUUCAUUUAAGCCCAAACUCUUACCCACUUUGGUCUUGGGGCUCAGGCAGCCCUGCUUCUUUCCAGAGCCUCAUACACCUCCCUCCACUCACCUACCCCCUCCCACCUGCUCGGGAUCAAGGUUGACAGGGUCCAGAUGGAGGCAGGCAGGUCUAAUGAGAUGUGAAGGGUAUUGCUCACAGGGAGCCAAGAGUGACUGGGAGAGCAUCCCAGACUCCCGCAUCCCUGCUUGAGAUGUCAGGAGCACACAGUAUAGCCGUACAUUAAAGACGAGCUCGGCCCCAGAGCCCGCGUCGUCAGGGAACUUGUCCAGCUCCCGUCCCUCCCGCCUCUGUGGUUGGUGUGUCUGGUGAACCAGGCCCCUCAAGCAGCCCCAUCAUCCUUCUGGGUUUUCAGAACAAGUGACUUAGUUUUUCAAUGCUUUCACUGUUUUUCUCCCUUUAAAAACAAAACAACAAAACUUGAUUUCAAAUGAAGGAAUGAAAUUGUGCCAUUUGUUGAUAUCUGGGUGGCCCUAGAGACUCUCAUACAGAGUGAAGUAAGUCAGAAAGAGAAAUCAAAUAUUGUAUUGUUGUUGUUCAAUUGCUAAGUCAUGUCCGACUUUUUGCGACCCCAUGGACUGCAGCAUGCCA
This is a long non-coding RNA of Cervus elaphus (red deer), 2158 nucleotides long. RefSeq lists it as uncharacterized. Lineage: Eukaryota; Metazoa; Chordata; Mammalia; Artiodactyla; Cervidae. The record is from RefSeq and is a predicted model, not a curated record. The transcript is spliced from 5 exons.